GGGUUCAAGGUUCAAGGUUAUUCUUUUGAAGUUUCUUCGUGAUGCAGGCGACAAUAAAUCCAGCAGACAGCUUUCUGCAGCAUACCUGUAAGAUAUGCAGCCCCUUCAGUGUGAGUACAGCCAGCUCCCUCACUCCGUCCCCUGUCAGGUCUAAGUAGAUGAUGGACAACAGAGGACUCUUGAAGCUCCGCCUCCACUGCAGCUGAAACUGUCCGUCUCCUCCGCUCCCCGCUGGCUGGAAUUUAUAACAGAGAAGUUCCUGCACGACAGAGCGGCAGGUAACAAUGUCAUCACAAAGAUGUCACCACACAGUUAUUUCAUUCUGAUCAUUUAAAGAACCAACAAACAUGAUUGCUCCCUAACACCAAUAUGUCCAGAUAAGACGUGUUUGACAGAUGCACACAUCCAGAACACCAAGAUGUCCUUCAAUGUCUGGUCAUAUUUUGCAGCAGGCAAGCCAGUAUGCUUUGUGUUAUUCUGACCCAUAAUCCUCUGCAGCAGUAAAUGUAUCACACCGAGUGAGCUGCAGGUGGACAGCAUGUUGUAGCUUCAAAGCACCUUUUUUUUUAAUUUCUUGCUGCAGACUCUGAGGGAUGCAGGGGCAAGAUGACUACAUUUCAAGGUGCCAAGGUGGUAUGUCUGAAUUGUAUGGAUACUGCAUCCAGAGUGAAGACUAUGAAAGGUUGUCAGCAUAAACAGCACUUACAGUAUGUGAUUUGAUAUUUUGUUGUUAUUCCCUGUCCUUGAAAAGUAAGUCUGCUGAUACUUCUUGUUUCUCUACCUGUCAACAAUGUGAAGCCUCCCAGACACUUUUUGCUCUGCGCCACAGAACUGUUAUCUAAAAACUAUUAAAAAUACAUCAAUGAGCCAAA
Long non-coding RNA from Notolabrus celidotus (New Zealand spotty), 872 nucleotides. RefSeq lists it as uncharacterized. The transcript is spliced from 3 exons. Lineage: Eukaryota; Metazoa; Chordata; Actinopteri; Labriformes; Labridae. The record is from RefSeq and is a predicted model, not a curated record.